This 85-nucleotide transfer RNA is filed under the name Paractinoplanes toevensis. RNAcentral describes it as "Actinoplanes toevensis tRNA-Pro". The record is from RNAcentral. Lineage: Bacteria; Bacillati; Actinomycetota; Actinomycetes; Micromonosporales; Micromonosporaceae.
UCGGCGCAUGGUCAACGCGGAGCAGAUCGGGCUGCUCGGCACGGCCGUGGUGCUCGGUGGAGCGAUCGCCGCGCUCACCCUGAGC